This 253-nucleotide ribosomal RNA is filed under the name uncultured bacterium. Its description in RNAcentral is "partial 16S ribosomal RNA". It matches the Rfam family "Bacterial small subunit ribosomal RNA", at positions 524 to 776 of the family's 1533-position model. The record is from RNAcentral.
UACAGAGGUCUCAAGCGUUGUUCGGAUUCAUUGGGCGUAAAGGGUGCGUAGGUGGCGGGGUAAGUCAGGUGUGAAAUCUCGGGGCUCAACCCCGAAACUGCACUUGAUACUGCCUUGCUUGAGUACUGGAGAGGAGAUUGGAAUUUACGGUGUAGCAGUGAAAUGCGUAGAUAUCGUAAGGAAGACCAGUGGCGAAGGCGGCAUCCUGGACCGACAUUGACGCUGAGGAGCGAAAGCCAGGGGAGCAAACGGG